CAGAUCAGCUGCUUUCUGCAUGCAUGGAAAGAAAGGAGAAAGAACCUCCAGCAUAACCCAAAGGACAGGUCCUGGGGUUUCUUUCUCUCCAACUCACUCUGCACGUUUCUACUCUCCAUGUGUUUUGAAAGACUUGAUCAGUGUCGCUCAGAAGCAUUGCCAUGGACGCCCAGCUUCCUGAACAUGGCCUACUUGACCUCAGUGAAGUACUCCAGAAUGUCAGUAAUCAUCUCAUUACCUGCUGGGACUGUUUGCACUUACCAUGCAAGACCUUCAGUACCACUGAUCAGCAAUCCCAUUCUUAUCACAUCGGCUUCCCAGCUUUCAGCAGCAGCUUCAGUGGUGACAGGGCUGGAGCUGCUGCUGCGUGCCUUGGAGAUAAAAAAAGAACACCAUAUCUGACUCACUAAGUUAACAUCUAUCAGCUCUGCCAACACCGUGUUCAGUGUCUGGGAAGCUGAUACAAUAAAUUUCUGCCCAUAUUGAAUGUACCUAGUGGCUUCACUGAGGAACUGCAAAACCUCGUCACCUCAGUCCAACCGUGACAUGCAGCACUCCACACAUUUUCCCAUGUGCAUUAUUUUCACUUUUAUCCAUGUGAUCAAACUUUGAAAACUGAAAAGAAGAAAACAGCUCUAAAGAUCUGCAAAGAAUAAGCAGUACCAAAUAACGUUUGAGGGUGAUACGGCAGAAGAAGAAAACGGACUAACAAUUUGUGAAUUACAGCCAUGCCUCGAGCGUCCUGGAGCAGAAGGCUGCCCAGAAUCCUGGUAGCAACAGAAGAAAAUGAAGAGAACUUGGGAACGAGCUGGACAAGCUACAGCAUGGACAUAUCUGCAGUCUCUGGCAUUUCUGUCUAACCUCUAGCUCUCUCAACUCUCCUUCCCAAUUAGCCAUAAGUGGACCUGCAAAUGACAGCUGAAGACAUCUCUAACUGAUGAGAGGCUCUGCACAAUUCCUGGAAGUUCCUGAAAGGUUAAAUGGUUCAGAAGAGAUAGCAGCUGCCUGUGCCUCCACCUACAUUCCUUCAGCUUCUGACCCGCAUUAAAAUAUAUAAUUUAAUAUGACAACUUAAUUCCAAACUUUAAAGAAAAAAUAAGAAGUUGAUUAUGAUUGGCAUGGAAAUUACAUCCUCCUGUUAGUUCUCAUUUUAUGCCAGCACGGUCAUUCCAGCCUUUGUCAUUCACGUGCAAGCAGGAUGAAGAGCCAGCUCACUCCAGCUUUCUGCCCUGGUGAGUGAGAAGAGCCCAGAAGCAAAGGGCUUUUGAGAGUCACUUGUCACAACUAAGGUGUAAAGCCCACACUCUUACUCAGGAGUAGGUGUUUGCUGAUAAAACCUAGUAAACUACAAUCUGUAUUUUGUGAUUAAGGCUUUUGCUUUGCUGAUUCUGGAGAACAUACUGAUACCGGCUUAAAAAUACUGGCAAGAAUUUUGUAUACCUCCUUGAUCAAAUGGUUCAAGCUAAUUAGAAGAGCAUGUCAUUAUCAUCUGUACAUCUGGGUUGAUAUUAGACUAAUAAGAGGUGCUUUCAUACCAACUGUUGUGAAAACCUGCAAAUCUAACAACUCUCUUCUGUACACCAGCCAAACUCUUGACUGACCUCUGAAUGUCAGCUUAAAAGUCACCUUUUAUUUUAAUUCACUGACAUUGUAAAUAUGUUCUGCACUGUACCAGAUAAACAACCCUCAGAUCCUUUUGGAAAACACUGACUGUGGGGGUUAGUUUCAUGUAGCACUUAUUCUCACUUGAAAUUUCUCUGAGUGUCCUUAGUGUCUUUCUAGAAUCUAACUCAGUCUCAUAUGAAAUGUCACUUACAAAUCCAAGAAAUGAGUCCCUUUCUGAUAAACCUUUGGCUGCUUCCCGUAAGUAGUAUUUUGGGAAGCGGGCCUUGACAAAUAUUUUACUUUUCUCUGAGUUCUAAAAGUAUACAUAUACGCAGAUAUGCACAUAUCAAUGACUUCAUUGUUUAUGAAAGUGAAAAAUCAACCAAUGGAUUAAUGAUUUUGUUUAUUCCUACUUCUUUUCUACUUGUGUUCCUAGUGAGACUUGGAUUUCUUUAAUAUUUUAUUUAUAGUCUAGUUUAACAUUACAAUUUUCAUUGUAUUUAUGCCAACUGGUCCUGCAGAACUGCUGUAAGUCUUAAAAUAAUUUUCUGUAUUGUCAAAAUGCUAUUUAAAGCAGGUUAGCAUUUAAGUAUGGUUCACUGGAAGACAGUUCACUGUCUUCCAGUGACUUCCCAUCACUUUUGCUCAGUUUAGAAGCAAAAGCAUGCUGGUGGUUUUCAAAUAAAGUGAGGCUUAGCUCUUCCUGGCUCAUGUCUUGUCACCUUUAAAUUCAUCCGAGUUGCAGUAUGAUAUUACUGUAGAAAAUUAGGGAGGUCUUGAGAAGCACAAAUGCCAGGAAAGCACCACAAGGUACAAAUCAUUUCUAAGAACCACACAUAUUACUUGUGAUGGGCAAGUGGCAGUGCACAGAGAUAAGAUGAAUGGUAUCUCCUUAGCAACCAUACAUGUGACCUCUGAGAUUGGGGAAAAAAAAAACACACAAAACCACCAUAGUAUUUUAGCUACAAAUGGCCUAAGCCAGAUGGAGAUAAAAACACAUGGCUUAUAUCAUCAAUUUUAGAGAAACACAUCAGGCAAAUUAGACUUUGGUCUAUCCAUAAAUGCACUGGUUUGAAAGAACUUUCCUCUUCACAAAUAUCUGAUAUUAUCUAUCAAGUGCAAUGAAUCCAUCCCUAAUAACGCAUUUCACAGUUGUUUUUCCUUUGCUCAUAUAUAUAUAUCACCAGGCAUCACUAUACUUGUCUGUGAUCAUGUAACAGGUCUUGAGGUUUCCUGGUAAAUAAUGAAGAUGGCAAAGUAGUUUUAGUGAAAGAAGAGACUUUUGCCUAUUCCUAGAAUCAGUACUAUCCAAAGCUUGCCUUGCUUUCUGAAACAUUAAGUUGACCUUUUUAUGGAUGUUUUUGUCUGCUUUUGUACUUCAGGAGCUGGGAAAAACAUAGAAAAAAAUGUCAGCAUUACAAAAGAAAAGUUAUAACUGGGGUAGUAGCAAAUGGAAACAGAAAUCCCUGAAAUCUGUCAAUAAAGUCUUAUACCCAUGUCAUUUCAAGUUCCAUUUUGCAGCAUUAAGGUGUUUGACUCAUUUACAUGAGAUCUGGAUAAGAGGUUAGACUCUCUGAUGUGUUUUCAAACUGAAAACAUGAACUAAAGUGAAGUUGCCAGCACUUGGGGACAAAACUAUUUGGACACUGGGUAAAUUUAAAUGUUAUAGGAAGAGUAUUCAAAAAUUCAGGAGCUGUAAACAAAUGUGGUUAUCUGAAAUUUCAUCAUCAUUUACCUUUUUACUAACCAGAUGAAUAAACCAUGAAUGUGAGAAAAAAAUCUCAUUGAUGAAAUUCCUGUCCCUAGUCUGGAAGUAGCUAUUGAAAUGUAGGGAACACAUUAUAAGGAAAAGGCCUG
RNAcentral lists this long non-coding RNA (3462 nucleotides) under Gallus gallus (chicken). Its description in RNAcentral is "lncRNA (ENSGALG00010006669.1)". Lineage: Eukaryota; Metazoa; Chordata; Aves; Galliformes; Phasianidae. The record is from RNAcentral.